CCUACGGGUGGCAGCAGUGAGGAAUAUUGGUCAAUGGACGAGAGUCUGAACCAGCCAAGUAGCGUGAAGGAUGACUGCCCUAUGGGUUGUAAACUUCUUUUUAAAGGAAUAAAACGAGGCACGUGUGCCUUUUUGCAUGUACUUUAUGAAUAAGGAACGGCUAACUCCGUGCCAGCAGCCGUGGUAAUACGGAGGAUCCGAGCGUUAUCCGGAUUUAUUGGGGUUAAAGGGAGCGUAGAUGGGUUGUUAAGUCAGUUGUGAAAGUUUGCGGGUCAACCGUAAAAUUGCAAUUGAUACUGGCAGUCUUGAGUACAGUUGAGGUAGGCGGAAUUCGUGGUGUAGCGGUGAAAUGCUUAGAUAUCACGAAGAACCCCGAUUGCGAAGGCAGCUUACUAAACUGUGACUGACAUUGAUGCUCGAAAGUGUGGGUAUCAAACAGGAUUAGAUACCCCUGUAGUC
This 459-nucleotide ribosomal RNA is filed under the name uncultured bacterium. RNAcentral's name for it is "partial 16S ribosomal RNA". It matches the Rfam family "Bacterial small subunit ribosomal RNA", at positions 338 to 795 of the family's 1533-position model. The record is from RNAcentral.